GAGAUUGAGUAAGCUAUUUUAGUUUAGUAAUGAUUCAAAUGGAUUAAUAACAAUAAAAGGUUGUUCAAAUAGGAAUUGGAGAUUGAAGGUUCAUUAUUUUAGAUUUGAGCUUAGAGUCUUAGUUUUUUUAUUUAACCUGGAACUUUCCUAUAUUUUAUGCUUUCCACGAAUUGAACUCUUGUAACUAAACCGUUCUAUAUUCAAUUAAGGAAUAGAGUUCAAAAAGUUUUUGUUUUCAUUGUUUAAUCAGCAAUUUAUUAUUUAUUUAUUUUUCAUAAAUCUAAAACAAAAAAGGUAUUUUGACGACAAAAUAGAAAGAAAAGAACCUAUUUUGCAUCGCUCAAAAUUGACAAUUAGUCAUACAAAAUUUCAUUAAGCAAUUUUCUCUAUUGGGUUAAGGGCAAGAUAUACAUGGGGUCUAUAUAAUAAUUCAGAGAAAAUAAAAAGUUAUAAAGUUAGACAAAACACAAAGGUUGCAAAAUAGAAUCAAUUAGUUUCAAUGAGUUCUUAACUUUCACUAAAGAUUUUUAUAUACGUUCUUCUCUAGAUAUGGAGAGAUGGAAAUAAAAUCAAAAUAUAGAAUUUUUUUUUUAAUUUAAUUCU
RNAcentral lists this long non-coding RNA (603 nucleotides) under Capsicum annuum. Its description in RNAcentral is "long non-coding RNA (CANN_LNC013870)". Lineage: Eukaryota; Viridiplantae; Streptophyta; Magnoliopsida; Solanales; Solanaceae. The record is from RNAcentral.